This 460-nucleotide ribosomal RNA is filed under the name uncultured bacterium. RNAcentral's name for it is "partial 16S ribosomal RNA". It matches the Rfam family "Bacterial small subunit ribosomal RNA", at positions 338 to 795 of the family's 1533-position model. The record is from RNAcentral.
CCUACGGGUGGCAGCAGUGAGGAAUAUUGGUCAAUGGACGAAAGUCUGAACCAGCCAAGUAGCGUGAAGGAUGAAGGCCCUAUGGGUUGUAAACCUCUUUUAUAUGGGAAUAAAAUGUUCCACGUGUGGCAUUUUGUAUGUACCAUAUGAAUAAGGAUCGGCUAACUCCGUGCCAGCAGCCGCGGUAAUACGGAGGAUCCGAGCGUUAUCCGGAUUUAUUGGGUUUAAAGGGAGCGUAGGUGGCUUGUUAAGUCAGUUGUGAAAGUUUGGGGCUCAACCGUAAAAUUGCAGUUGAAACUGGCAGUCUUGAGUACAGUAGAGGUGGGCGGAAUUCGUGGUGUAGCGGUGAAAUGCUUAGAUAUCACGAAGAACUCCGAUUGCGAAGGCAGCUCACUGGACUAUAACUGACACUGAGGCUCGAAAGUGUGGGUAUCAAACAGGAUUAGAUACCCGAGUAGUC